GAUGAAGAACGUAGCGAAAUGCGAUACGUAAUGUGAAUUGCAAAUUCAGUGAAUCAUCGAGUCUUUGAACGCACAUUGCGCCCGCCAGUAUUCUGGCGGGCAUGCCUGUUCGAGCGUCAUUUCAACCAUCAAGCCCCCGGGCUUGUGUUGGGGACCUGCGGCUGCCGCAGGCCCUGAAAAGCAGUGGCGGGCUCGCUGUCACACCGAGCGUAGUAGAUUUUAUCUCGCUCUGGGCGUGCUGCGGGUUCCGGCCGUUAAACCACCCUUUUAACCCAAGGUUGACCUCGGAUCAGGUAGGAAGACCCGCUGAACUUAAGCAUAUCAAUAAGCGGAGGA
This 336-nucleotide unclassified non-coding RNA is filed under the name soil metagenome. Its description in RNAcentral is "partial contains 5.8S ribosomal RNA, internal transcribed spacer 2, and large subunit ribosomal RNA". The stretch from base 1 to 119 matches the Rfam family "5.8S ribosomal RNA", at positions 35 to 154 of the family's 154-position model. The record is from RNAcentral.